Molecule: transfer RNA, 76 nt
Filed under: Podarcis lilfordi (Lilford's wall lizard)
Lineage: Eukaryota; Metazoa; Chordata; Lepidosauria; Squamata; Lacertidae
Description: tRNA.Lys
Rfam family: tRNA (bases 8-65)
About the family: Transfer RNA (tRNA) molecules are approximately 80 nucleotides in length. Their secondary structure includes four short double-helical elements and three loops (D, anti-codon, and T loops).
Source: RNAcentral
UUAAGGAUAGCUCAGUCAGUACAGCAUGAGACUCUUAAUCUCAGGGUUGUGGAUUCGAGCCCCACCUAGGGCAAAA